GCUGGGCGUGGUGGCGCGCGCCUGUAAUCCCAGCUACUCAGGAGGCUGAGGCAGGAGAAUCGCUUGAACCCAGGAGGCAGAGGUUUCAGUGAGCUGAGAUUGUGCCACUGCACUGCAGCCUGGGUGACAAAGCGAGAUUCCGUCUCAA
This 148-nucleotide signal recognition particle RNA is filed under the name Homo sapiens (human). RNAcentral describes it as "Metazoan signal recognition particle RNA". It matches the Rfam family "Metazoan signal recognition particle RNA". Rfam says of the family: The signal recognition particle (SRP) is a universally conserved ribonucleoprotein. It is involved in the co-translational targeting of proteins to membranes. The eukaryotic SRP consists of a 300-nucleotide 7S RNA and six proteins: SRPs 72, 68, 54, 19, 14, and 9. Lineage: Eukaryota; Metazoa; Chordata; Mammalia; Primates; Hominidae. The record is from Rfam by way of RNAcentral.